GGGGGUGAAAAGGGCUCGACUUAGGUAAGCCGGGUAAAAGUAGCAUGCCGCGGACGCAGGGUGGGCCGCGUUAACAAUCCUUGCAAAAAUAAACGCAAACGAUAACAAUCGUUUAUUAGCAGAAGCUAAUAGGAUCGUUGCACCGAUUUUUGCAACCCCUAUUAUGCCUGCUAUGGCGCUAGCCCUUCCUCACUAAAAAGGAAGGCCUCAACUCAAUCUGCCUAAGGGUUGUGUUUGAGCGGUUAAUUUAGGCUGGCCUGGGUUUUGGCCUUUUAGGCCCGGGCGAGACACUUAAAGGCUGCGGCUUAGCUGAUCCAGUUUGCCGGAGCGGCUAAGCUUAAGCGUAAAGGGCAGACUAAGCAUGUAGCGACUCUUAUUCGAUUACUUACGGACGGCGGUUCGAUUCCGCCCACCUCCACCA
RNAcentral lists this transfer-messenger RNA (421 nucleotides) under Candidatus Omnitrophota. RNAcentral describes it as "VGKF01 sp016867175 Standard tmRNA". It matches the Rfam family "transfer-messenger RNA". From Rfam's summary of the family: Bacterial tmRNA, also known as 10Sa RNA or SsrA, is named for its dual tRNA and mRNA-like properties. Its role is to liberate the mRNA from a stalled ribosome. The record is from RNAcentral. RNAcentral also lists the same sequence under 1 other name. Lineage: Bacteria; Pseudomonadati.